CCUGUCUCCUACAAGAGUAAAGUGCACGCGCUUUGGGACAGUGAGAAAAUAAUGUUCACAAAGCCCAUACACUUUCACUCUUUGGGAGAGUUG
This 93-nucleotide microRNA precursor is filed under the name Chinchilla lanigera (long-tailed chinchilla). RNAcentral's name for it is "miRNA (ENSCLAG00000021131.1)". It matches the Rfam family "mir-350 microRNA precursor family". The record is from RNAcentral. Lineage: Eukaryota; Metazoa; Chordata; Mammalia; Rodentia; Chinchillidae.